CUCGCUCACCUUAGCACAUCACUCGUCCUCAACAAACUGGACACCUUUCAUUUUCCUCGUAAUCUGAGAGCACGGAAUGUAUUGAGACUCAGACGCCGGGAUCACAGAAGACAAUAAGUGGUAGAUUGUAAUAUCUGAAGAGAUCACUGUGGGUUCUACAUGACUCACAAUGGAGAGAUGCAAAAUCUGUUCAGGUUUGGUUACCAGAAAACUUCUUUUAUUUGAAUGCAUCAAGAAUAUUUUCAAAAAGGACAAAACAAAUGAAACGCUUGAAACUGGAG
Callorhinchus milii (elephant shark) is the source of this 281-nucleotide long non-coding RNA. RefSeq lists it as uncharacterized. The record is from RefSeq and is a predicted model, not a curated record. The transcript has 3 exons. Lineage: Eukaryota; Metazoa; Chordata; Chondrichthyes; Chimaeriformes; Callorhinchidae.